UCUAAGACUUGCGGUAUUUGAGAGCUUCAAAACGUGCAGCAAGAGUAUCAUAGUCUGGUAAUCUAGGGUGAACUCGAGGAAAUGAAUCCUGUUUCCCUUGCAUUCCAGGUGCCUGUGGUGCAGGCCUGUGAGGUGGCUGGUUCAUUCCUUGUCCAGGUUUCUCCAUCUCAAUUUCCUCAUCAACAUCUGAUUCAUCAAAUUUGACAUCUGACUUUGCAGGAGGGACAGUGUAGCUGUGCCUUCUAAGAUUUAAAGGUGGUUCUUCCACGUCAAUUUCUUCGUCGCAAUCUGAGUCAUCAAAUUUGAUAUCAGAACGAGCAGAUGGAACAUUAUAGCUAUGCCUUCGAUAAACCUUUGGUGUGUCGAAAUUGUUAUGUUCAGCACUUGAGGAAUGAGAAUUUUCAGAACUCCGCCGCUUGAUGCUCUUCUG
RNAcentral lists this long non-coding RNA (430 nucleotides) under Coffea arabica (coffee). Its description in RNAcentral is "long non-coding RNA (CARA_LNC005226)". The record is from RNAcentral. Lineage: Eukaryota; Viridiplantae; Streptophyta; Magnoliopsida; Gentianales; Rubiaceae.